This 608-nucleotide ribosomal RNA is filed under the name Enterobacteriaceae bacterium secondary endosymbiont of Mycopsylla sp. RNAcentral's name for it is "bacterial LSU rRNA". It matches the Rfam family "Bacterial large subunit ribosomal RNA", at positions 901 to 1510 of the family's 2925-position model. The record is from RNAcentral. Lineage: Bacteria; Pseudomonadati; Pseudomonadota; Gammaproteobacteria; Enterobacterales; Enterobacteriaceae.
GGUAGAGCACUGUUUCGACUAGAGAUCCAUCCCGGAUUAUCAAUUCGAUGCAAACUCCGAAUACCAUAGAAUACAAUCAUAGGAGACACACGGCGGGUGCUAACGUCCGUCGUGGAAAGGGAAACAACCCAGAUCGCCAGCUAAGGUCCCUAAAUUAUGAUUAAGUGGGAAACGAUGUGAGAAGUCUUAGACAACCAGGAUGUUGGCUUAGAAGCAGCUAUCAUUUAAAGAAAGCGUAAUAGCUCACUGGUCGAGUCAACUUGCGCGGAAGAUUUAACGGGGCUAAAUCAUAUACCGAAGCUGCGACAAUAAUAUUAUUUAUUAUUGGGUAGGGGAGCGUUCUGUAAGCCUGUGAAGAUAUAUUGUAAAAUAUAUUGGAGGUAUCAGAAGAGCGAAUGCUGACAUAAGUAACGAUAAAGCAGGUGAAAAACCUGCUCGCCGAAAGACCAAGGGUUCCUGUUCAACGUUAAUCGAAGCAGGGUAAGUCGACACCUAAGGCGAGGCUGUAAAGCGUAGUCGAUGGAAAACUGGUUAAUAUUCCUGUACUAGUUAUAACUGCGAAGGGGGGACGAAGAAAGCUAGAUUCUCCAGGCGACGGUUGUUCCUGG